RNAcentral lists this unclassified non-coding RNA (291 nucleotides) under uncultured Gautieria. Its description in RNAcentral is "sequence contains ITS2". The stretch from base 1 to 52 matches the Rfam family "5.8S ribosomal RNA", at positions 103 to 154 of the family's 154-position model. The record is from RNAcentral. Lineage: Eukaryota; Fungi; Basidiomycota; Agaricomycetes; Gomphales; Gomphaceae.
AACGCAUCUUGCGCUCCUUGGUAUUCCGAGGAGCAUGCCUGUUUGAGUGUCGUGAAACCCUCUCGGACCCGCCCCUUUUGCCGGGGUGGGUUUGGAUUUGGACGCCUGCGGGUCGCCGCUCGUCCUUAAAUGCAUUAGCUGGUCCCUUUGUGGUCGGUCCGAACGACGGUGUGAUAACAAAACGCUUAGUGCGCCGUUCGUCGCCCGGCCUGGGUCGCUUAGAGCCGUCCUCCUCGGACAACUUUCAUGUCAUCUGACCUCAAAUCAGGUAGGACUACCCGCCGAACUUAA